UUAUAUUAGCACGAUUCGUGCGCGGAAGCGUGUGCAUAUUAUUCGCACAACUGGUGUCGUGCGCGUAAGGGACGAACAGUUAUUAGCACGAUCGAGUGCAACCUGUAGGGCGAAUAACAAAACCUGCUUUCGCUGCACGACUCGUGCAAAUUAAUGAGUGUUUGUUAUUGGAACGAAUUAAAUAUUGGUUCUGUACAAAACAUCGUUUUUAAUCUUACUUUUGAAGAAUUUUACACCAAAUUUAAUGAAAUAUCUGUCAGAUAAGUAUCGAUAUCAACAUAAGUACUACGAAUCGAGUUGAACAUAACCCUUGAGUUUGUUUACUUUCUUACGUUGAAAUUCGAGAUCGAAAUUCUUUUCUGUAAUUUCUCUAUUUCAGAGGUUUUCCCACCUGUUAGAAGUUCGCUUUCCGUUUUCCUCUCCCGACGUUGAUCCCACGUGCUUUCGAGCUGAGUGUCAUUCGGUUAUUUGGAUUUUUAAAUGCCUUGAUGGCACCCAAGUUCUAGUUAUCCAAACAUGGAGGUGGAGAAUCAGUCUGACUGGGUUCCCAGAAAAGAUCAAAAAUUCUCUGCAUGGACAGAUGUGGAGGAAGCUCUUGAAAAGUAUGGAGAACGAACAAAUACUACAUGGGUGGUUGGAAAUUCUAGAUUGGUAGCAGAUAAAAAUAUCACGCUAAAAGCAAAGAAUCGUCCGCUUAUUGAUGAGAAACUUAAAUAUUUAUAUGUUACAUUGACUUGUAAAUGUGGAGGCAGGAAAAGAGUGGGCAAAGGCGUUGGAGAUCGACCAAACCAAAGCUCUUGGAAAAUCUACUGCCCUGGUUUUAUAAAAUUCAAAUAUGAUGGCAAUGUGAAGAAACUAAUAGUGGAUACAUUAAACUUAAAUCACAUACAUCCUACUACUCCUGAAGUGAAAGCUGCAUUCCCUGAGUCUAGACGACUCACAGGAAAAGAUGCUGAGGCAGUACAAAAACUGCUAAAAUUGAAGGUGAAACCCACCCUCAUUCGAAUGCUGCUUGCAGAUGAAAGCUCUAAAAAGCUCACAGCUCGAGACAUCUCUAAUCUGAGAGCCUCAAUGAAAAAAGCUGAGAUGGGUGGCUUAACUGAGGAAGAAAAGCUUCUCGAUACUCUUCAACAACUUGCCGACAGAGACCCAACAUCCACAAUUCAUUUGGGUCAAGAUGACAAACGCUUGUUGGAAUUCCUAUUCUUUCAAACAUCGUCAAUGAAAAACACCCUGAGGAAGUACCCUACAUUGGUGAUAGUGGACACUACUUACAAGGUAAAUAAGAACCAAAUGCCAGUGGUAGUGUUUAUGGCCAUGGACGGCCAAGGCAGUGGCCGUGUAGUAGGGUAUGCAUUUGUUCACAACGAACUGAAAACAACACUGCAUAAAGUUCUUGACUGCCUGAAGGCUUCCAUGGGUGAAGAAACAACUGACAAAAUUAAAGUGUUUGUUGUGGACAAGGACUACUCUGAAAUUGGGGCAAUUAAAGAAGUUUUUCCAAAUGCCAGAAUCCAAUUAUGCGAUUUCCAUGUGUCAAAACUUUUCACAAAAAAGGCAAGUGGACAUAGUGAGGAAGUUUUGAGUAUUUUGACUAAGCUCAGGUAUGCCGAAGAUGAUGGCACAUUCCAGGCUCUAGUUGUUGAGUUAGAAGAAGAAUGCGACCCCGAACUUUUCACCUAUUUCAAUGACAAUUGGCUGAAGAUUCCUGAGGCAUGGUGUACAAAAGACCGGCAAGAUUGUUUAGGAAAUACUACCUCAAACCGGCUUGAAAAUCAUAACGGCAAGAUAAAGAUGGUUUUGAAUCAUGAGAAUUCUUUGUAUGAAUGUAUCAAAGGACUGCUGGAUCUGCAUCAAACUAAAGAAGAUGAUGUCAUGUUCAGAGACACAAUGGAGUCUAUAAAAUACCAGUACAAAAUUGGAAACACAGAUCCAAAUGUGCAACAAAUUCUUUCUGACUUCCAUAAACUGCCUGCCGAAUUGAUGAUUCAGCAAUUAGAUUUAUCGACUAAGGUCCAAGAAGAAACAUUAAAAGAGUAUGGAACAAGCACAGGAUCGUGUAACUGCCCAUUUAAAAUGUCUUACAGACUACCUUGUAGGCACAUGAUCCACUUGAGACAAGAAAAAGGGGAUCCUCCGUACCACACCUCUGAGAUUGAGGACAUGUGGUUGCAAAAGGAGGUUGAGGUUGAUGAUAAUACUGCUCAAUUGUCUAGUUCAAUAGUAGCACACAGAAUGCCUGCACGAAUUGUACCCACCGACACACAAGGGCGUUUCCAGAUGGCCUUAGUAAUUGCAAGAAAGCUUUGUAAUGUCCUUGGUGAGAGUGGGAGGGACCAAUAUGCCCAGAGACUUCAAGUACUAAAAGACCUCCUUGCAGUAUGGUCCUCAGGGAAGGAGGCAGGCAUUAUGACAAUUCAUUCAACUAGAAGGAACACUGUUGAUAGGAGUAACACCCUUACUACCGUGGAAGAAAUUCAAGUGAACAAUGAAACUACUAUGGUGCAUCAAAACAACUCUGAAGUACGUGAUGAUGAGGCGACCUCUUCUGCAUCCGCUUCCAAGCCAAGUACUCAAUUUCAAACAAUUUCCAUGGUCCACCAAGUCAACUCUGAAUCAUGCCAUGAUGGCGCCUCUGCAUCCCCUUCGACUUCAACUACUCCAGUUCAAAGAAUACCGAUAGUUGUGGUCACCCAAGAUGGUUCUCUACUUGAUGAUGACAAUGACAACAUUCUGAGCUCUGUAGCUGAAGGAUUGGAUGAAGGGAACAAAGGUCAAGAAGGUGAUGAUGACUUUGUAAUUUUGAAUGCUUCUUUACCUCAUGAUGACAAUGACGACAUUCUGAGCUCUGUAGCUGAAGAAUUGGAUGAAGGGAACAAAGAUCGAGAGAGUGAUGAUAAUGAAGUUUCGACUCCAGGGCCUUUAAAUCUGCGAAAUCUCAAUCUUAUGUUGCCAACUUCGAUUAAGCACAAGGGGAGGCCUAAAGGAAUAGGCAAAACCACCAACUAUUACAAGAGGAUUAAAGGCCGGCCACUCUGUUCAUCAGCUAAAAAAGGAAAUGCAAGAAAAGAAAGGAGUUUGGCAAUUUCUAAUGAAGAUGUAACUAAAAUUAAUAAGAACCUUUGGAAGGUAAGAUCUCAAACAAACAGAAAGGUGGUGUACUCUGUUAGAAUGGAAGGAGUGAACCUUAUCUGCUCAUGUCCUGACCGUAACGAACUGUGUAAACAUGUUCUCAAAAUCCACGAUGGACUUUUGGAUGAACCAGCUUAUAAAACUAUUGCAAUGAUCAUUCACAUGCACAAAGUGAUAUCAGAUCAUAAAAUUGUAUAAUCUUUACUGUUAACUGGUUAACUUUUGCUGUGUUACGUGGCUGAUCAGUGCAUUGGUUUCUACAUCUGUUGUCUAUAAAGUGUAGUGUGGUGAGUAAAUUAGAGCAUGUUGAAAGUUUACAUUUGUUACCUCAUUGUAAUACUUCCAGGAAGGUUCAGUGCCAGUAGGAACAAAAAGAUACCAAGAUCUCCAUUUAGUAUUUGUUUGGAAGGCAGCUGCUUUUAUUGUGUGAUGAGAACCAACUAACAUGUUCUUAGAUUUGAAACUAACCUGGGAUAUGUUGGCACAUGAACCCAAUAAUUGGUAAUCUUUGUUCCAGCCAUAUUUUUUCCUUUUUGCAACUUACAGUAAAAUCAUUGCAAUAGUCUCUUCUCUAAUCACAAAUCUCAUUAUAAUUAAACCAAAAUUUUAGUUACAUGCGCUGAAAUUUGUCAUUUUUGAGUAAUUGACCAUUGCAUUGAUUUUUUCUGUCUCCUAACGUGUUUGUGGUGAGUGAUGAUUUGAUGAACAAAACUCUUUGCAUAUGUGACGUGUCAUAUUUGGAUUUAGAGUGGUGAAAACUAGUGAAGGAAAGGGGAAUUAUUAAAGAUUUAUUCUUAAUUCCUUCUUUCUCAGCAGCUGACAAAAAGAAUUAUGGUCUCAGGUCUCUGUUAGUCAGCCUUCAUCUUCCCUCGUUUUCAUCCCUCAACAUCCUCCGAAUCAACCUUAAUAAUCAUUAUUGCUGUUAUUAAAAUAAGUAAGGAAAGAUUUGUACAGAUCAUAACUUAAAGCAUUUGAAUUUUUUUUUCAGAUGCUAAUGAAAUUUUCCUAGACGAUCCUGUAGGUGGUAAUGUACCAGGAGUUUGUAAAUCAGGAAAACAAAGAACCAAGAGGAAAUUGACAAAUUCGCUUGAGUCAGGAGAUUGUGAGGAGAAUGAUUCAGAAGAAAUAAAUUUGGCUG
Molecule: RNA transcript, 4270 nt
Organism: Frankliniella occidentalis (western flower thrips)
Lineage: Eukaryota; Metazoa; Arthropoda; Insecta; Thysanoptera; Thripidae
Gene name: zinc finger SWIM domain-containing protein 3-like
Exons: 16
Source: RefSeq, a predicted model, not a curated record